This 477-nucleotide ribosomal RNA is filed under the name uncultured bacterium. Its description in RNAcentral is "bacterial SSU rRNA". It matches the Rfam family "Bacterial small subunit ribosomal RNA", at positions 54 to 521 of the family's 1533-position model. The record is from RNAcentral.
CAUGCAGUCGAACGGUAACAGGAAGCAGCUUGCUGCUUCGCUGACGAGUGGCGGACGGGUGAGUAAUGUCUGGGAAACUGCCUGAUGGAGGGGGAUAACUACUGGAAACGGUAGCUAAUACCGCAUAACGUCGCAAGACCAAAGAGGGGGACCUUCGGGCCUCUUGCCAUCGGAUGUGCCCAGAUGGGAUUAGCUAGUAGGUGGGGUAACGGCUCACCUAGGCGACGAUCCCUAGCUGGUCUGAGAGGAUGACCAGCCACACUGGAACUGAGACACGGUCCAGACUCCUACGGGAGGCAGCAGUGGGGAAUAUUGCACAAUGGGCGCAAGCCUGAUGCAGCCAUGCCGCGUGUAUGAAGAAGGCCUUCGGGUUGUAAAGUACUUUCAGCGGGGAGGAAGGCGAUAAGGUUAAUAACCUUGUCGAUUGACGUUACCCGCAGAAGAAGCACCGGCUAACUCCGUGCCAGCAGCCGCGGU